RNAcentral lists this ribosomal RNA (1372 nucleotides) under uncultured bacterium. Its description in RNAcentral is "bacterial SSU rRNA". It matches the Rfam family "Bacterial small subunit ribosomal RNA", at positions 28 to 1381 of the family's 1533-position model. The record is from RNAcentral.
GAUGAACGCUGGCGGCGUGCCUAAUACAUGCAAGUCGAGCGAACGGACGAGAAGCUUGCUUCUCUGAUGUUAGCGGCGGACGGGUGAGUAACACGUGGAUAACCUACCUAUAAGACUGGGAUAACUUCGGGAAACCGGAGCUAAUACCGGAUAAUAUUUUGAACCGCAUGGUUCAAAAGUGAAAGACGGUCUUGCUGUCACUUAUAGAUGGAUCCGCGCUGCAUUAGCUAGUUGGUAAGGUAACGGCUUACCAAGGCAACGAUGCAUAGCCGACCUGAGAGGGUGAUCGGCCACACUGGAACUGAGACACGGUCCAGACUCCUACGGGAGGCAGCAGUAGGGAAUCUUCCGCAAUGGGCGAAAGCCUGACGGAGCAACGCCGCGUGAGUGAUGAAGGUCUUCGGAUCGUAAAACUCUGUUAUUAGGGAAGAACAUAUGUGUAAGUAACUGUGCACAUCUUGACGGUACCUAAUCAGAAAGCCACGGCUAACUACGUGCCAGCAGCCGCGGUAAUACGUAGGUGGCAAGCGUUAUCCGGAAUUAUUGGGCGUAAAGCGCGCGUAGGCGGUUUUUUAAGUCUGAUGUGAAAGCCCACGGCUCAACCGUGGAGGGUCAUUGGAAACUGGAAAACUUGAGUGCAGAAGAGGAAAGUGGAAUUCCGUGUGUAGCGGUGAAAUGCGCAGAGAUAUGGAGGAACACCAGUGGCGAAGGCGACUUUCUGGUCUGUAACUGACGCUGAUGUGCGAAAGCGUGGGGAUCAAACAGGAUUAGAUACCCUGGUAGUCCACGCCGUAAACGAUGAGUGCUAAGUGUUAGGGGGUUUCCGCCCCUUAGUGCUGCAGCUAACGCAUUAAGCACUCCGCCUGGGGAGUACGACCGCAAGGUUGAAACUCAAAGGAAUUGACGGGGACCCGCACAAGCGGUGGAGCAUGUGGUUUAAUUCGAAGCAACGCGAAGAACCUUACCAAAUCUUGACAUCCUUUGACAACUCUAGAGAUAGAGCUUUCCCCUUCGGGGGACAAAGUGACAGGUGGUGCAUGGUUGUCGUCAGCUCGUGUCGUGAGAUGUUGGGUUAAGUCCCGCAACGAGCGCAACCCUUAAGCUUAGUUGCCAUCAUUAAGUUGGGCACUCUAAGUUGACUGCCGGUGACAAACCGGAGGAAGGUGGGGAUGACGUCAAAUCAUCAUGCCCCUUAUGAUUUGGGCUACACACGUGCUACAAUGGACAAUACAAAGGGCAGCGAAACCGCGAGGUCAAGCAAAUCCCAUAAAGUUGUUCUCAGUUCGGAUUGUAGUCUGCAACUCGACUACAUGAAGCUGGAAUCACUAGUAAUCGUAGAUCAGCAUGCUACGGUGAAUACGUUCCCGGGUCU